RNAcentral lists this ribosomal RNA (223 nucleotides) under uncultured bacterium. Its description in RNAcentral is "partial 16S ribosomal RNA". It matches the Rfam family "Bacterial small subunit ribosomal RNA", at positions 15 to 228 of the family's 1533-position model. The record is from RNAcentral.
GAUCAUGGCUCAAGACGAACGCUGGCGGCGUGCCUAAUACAUGCAAGUAGAACGCUGAAGGAAGGAGCUUGCUCUUUCCGGAUGAGUUGCGAACGGGUGAGUAACGCGUAGGUAACCUGCCUGGUAGCGGGGGAUAACUAUUGGAAACGAUAGCUAAUACCGCAUAAGAGUAGAUAUCGCAUGAUAGCUGCUUAAAAGGUGCAAUUGCACCACUACCAGAUGG